RNAcentral lists this long non-coding RNA (496 nucleotides) under Homo sapiens (human). RNAcentral's name for it is "non-protein coding lnc-NSMCE1-5:1". Lineage: Eukaryota; Metazoa; Chordata; Mammalia; Primates; Hominidae. The record is from RNAcentral.
AGAACAAUGCUGUCCUGGCACCAGUGACAUCAGUGGCCUGGCCUGGAGGGGACCUUGAAAGCUGUUCUUUGGACCCAGCAAAGCCCCACCGUGGUUGGAACGUGGGUCUCUGAGUGACUGCGUGGAGAAGAACCACUACCCUCUGCCCAAUGUAUUGGUGACAUCAGUGAGCUGUAAACUGUUAUUGGACUAAGCCAUCAAGAUUUGGGCGUUUGUUUGUUACCACAGCAACACCUGCUUUGCACGGACUAAUACAUCAUGUUCACAGACACUGCUGAUGUGUUUCACCAGAUUUAGUUUUCUCCUGAUGGUUUCUGCAGCGGGUUCUGGAGCUGUGUUCCUACCUCAAUACCUACCCUAGCAUCAAAGUCCCUGGUGGGAAAGCAAUGCUUUCUCACAUUAUGAAGAUGGAAAAGAAUAUCGUCAGGGAGAACAUCACCAGCCCAGAAAAUUGGCUGUCAGCUCCAGGCCUCCAACCCUUAUAUUUAUUCCUGGG